GGUUGAUCCUGCCAGUAGUCAUAUGCUUGUCUCAAAGAUUAAGCCAUGCAUGUCUAAGUAUAAGCUGAUAUACGGUGAAACUGCGAAUGGCUCAUUAUAACAGUUAUAAUUUAUUUGAUAGUACAUUACUAGAUGGAUAACCGUGGUAAUUCUAGAGCUAAUACAUGCAAAAGGGCCUGACUUAUGGAGGGCUGUAUUUAUUAGAUUAAAAGCCAAAGCAGAGAUGCUAGUGGUGAAUCAUAAUAACUAAACGGAUCGUAUGACAAAGUCGACGACGUAUCAUUCAAAUUU
RNAcentral lists this ribosomal RNA (291 nucleotides) under uncultured eukaryote. Its description in RNAcentral is "partial 18S ribosomal RNA". It matches the Rfam family "Eukaryotic small subunit ribosomal RNA", at positions 6 to 306 of the family's 1831-position model. The record is from RNAcentral.